RNAcentral lists this long non-coding RNA (1039 nucleotides) under Daucus carota (carrot). RNAcentral describes it as "long non-coding RNA (DCAR_LNC004679)". The record is from RNAcentral. Lineage: Eukaryota; Viridiplantae; Streptophyta; Magnoliopsida; Apiales; Apiaceae.
UUCACAUCCCGCCCUUGUUUUCCAUUUGAUGCAUGCUAGUAAUUUUACUCCUUCAAGUGUAUUCGUCGAAUCACUAUAUGCAGAUGGCUCCAACUUCCUGUAAUCUGAUAUAUAAGUAAAGCUAGUAAACUAAUACAAUGUAUACAUUCAACAACAAAAUUUUAAAAGACAAACAUAAUUCAAAACCUUAGCCUCAUCUCUCUCUCUUCUUUUUCGAGCCGUCGUCGGAGAUUUCAUCGAUUUUCACCGAUGAAAAGCUACGAAUCAGCUUAUUUCUCUUGAUUUGUUCUUGUUUUCUCAAUAAUACUCCCUACCGGAUCCGUUUCAAGAUUUAGAUCUACUCGAUUUUCAAGAUUUUGAUUUGGUGAUAAAUCAAUUGAGAUGAGUCGAUGACGAGAGCGACUGCGAUUCAAUCUUAGCCAUAGUAGUGAUUACAUAUAUUUAUAUUCGAUAAGGUAAGGAUCCUGUACGUCAAGCCAGGUGAAUCAUGCAUCAGAGCAGUGACAGAUGGGAAGGGAGUCACUUAUAUAUAUUCUCAACAAUGUUCUGGACCAGCUGCCUUUAAAUAAUUUCCAAUAAAUAAUUUUACUCCUUCAAGUGUGUUGAAAUAGAAGUCAUGUUUACACUGUUACUAUACCACAAGCAGCUGCUGUACACUAGCUUAGCUUAGUCACCUACAUAUAGCUUGUAAUAGUCAUAGUUGGUUAGGAGUUGUACACGUUCUAUUUACUUUCUUGUCUGUACUAGUUCCUAUAAAUUCCUCGUCCUAUUCUCAUGUAACCACAAUAUAGCAAUAUACAAAUUCUGUACUACUUUGCACUACUGCCUCCGCUCUCAACUUAUUCAUUCUUUCUGUUAUACACAUAUAUACACACACAUCAGUAUAUAUAUACACAUAACACAUAAGUUUCUACAUGGUAUCAGAGCUUUAAGCUCCUUACCUCCGCGUUUUAUUCUGCUGUAAUCAUCGUUCCCGGUGACAAACUCUCUCGGCCAUUAAACCAAACAGUUGGCGCAACCCAGUUUCUGACGAGUCAAC